CACUGGCCACAGAGUCGGCUGGUUGUCGGCCUCUUGAGGUGCCCAAUCGUAGCCUGGAGCUAAAAGCAACACAGUCCAUUCAUCAAAAGCGUGACCCUCUACAGUCAGGGACGAGAUGCUGUGGACUAAUGAACCUGGUACCUGUUGCACAUGCCAGCGAGCGAGAGGCGCACCCCCCCCACUCAUCCACAGAUCACAGAGGGAGCCGUGAUGACCCCAUCCCAGAGGACCCCGCUGUUUUGCCUGCAAGCGUGGUGGUGUGUUCCAUGCAGUGACAAAGUGAGUCAAAAGGCCGAUGUUCGCCGGCCGUCAGUGACACCUAGCUAGCUGCUAAGCUAGCGCGGAGAAAGGCAGCGCCGGUCAGUAAGAAGCUACUCCUACAGACCGCGACCACUUCCCUGAGGACAGCAGGAACUUCACUCGGUGACAGAAAACACUGUGAGUAAUGGCUUCCUGCGCGUCUUGCACCAUACUCACGGAGAGGUUGGCUCUGCUAGAGGGCCGUGUCCGCCAGUUAGAGCAGAGUAAUGUCGUAACUUUAGAUGUUGCGGACACAUCUGCUAGCGUUAGCUGUAGCGAGCUAACUAGCCCAGCUCGUAGCAGUCCUAAGCGGCCUACAAGCUACGGUGUACCGGUUGAGACGCAUAAUAGAUUUAGCUCUUUAGCUAGUCCUACACCCCAGUCUACCGGGCACCACACCUUAGUUAUAGGGGACUCCAUCACCCGAAACAUAAAGCUUAGCAAACCAGCCACAAUAAAGUGUAUCCCCGGGGCCAGAGCACCUGACAUUGAAGCUAAUCUUAGGGAGCUAACUCGCAACAGGCCUAGUAAACACGUACGACAGGCUAAUCGCACCACUAAUUAUGCGAAUAUAGUUGUACACGUUGGCUCCAAUGACACUAGAAUGAGACAGUCAGAGAUUACAAAGAGAAACAUAGCCAGGACUUGUGAUCUCGCCAGAAAGAUGUCCAGGCAUCGAGUAAUUGUCUCUGGCCCCCUGCCUGCGAGAGGCAAUGAUGAGAGAUAUAGCAGAUUAGUCUCGCUUAACAAGUGGUUGGCUAGCUACUGUAGGCAGCAGGGACUAACGUUUAUUGAUAACUGGCCCUCUUUCUGGGGCAAACCAGGCUUGCUGAUGAGAGACGGCCUUCACCCUAACCAGGAAGGCGCCAUCAUCCUGUCUAGAAACAUAGACUACUAUUUAAGUCUCACUUGACUGACUACACUAGAGCAAGCCCGGUCACAGGCAAUUACAAUGUCUGUUAGUCCGGGUGAGGAGUCAGUUAAGCUAGAACUAGCCAGCGCCAGGCUGGAUAAUCCAUGUACGCAUAGCAAUUCUCUUAGAAUAAUACACAAUUCACAUAAUGUUUUUUCUGCUGUGUCUGUGUCAGGGGUGGACAUGCAUUCUACUGAGGUGGCAAAUUAUGAUAUGUCCAGUCUAUUGCAGCACCAAGCAAACAAUCGGAAAAUUCCAGUCAUAUCAAUUCCUAGAUAUGGUCGAAACUAUUUAAAGUGCACUACGCAUAAUAAACGCAACAUUGUUAAUAUUGCCACUACGGAUAAUCUUAACAAAAACUCGUCAAAACAGCCCAAUACCUAUAAUAUGGGCUUUUUAAACAUAAGAUCAUUGUCUCCCAAGGCGUUAUUGGUUAAUGAGGUCAUUAGAGACAACAAUCUUAACGUCAUUGGUCUUAGCGAAACCUGGCUCAAACCGGACGAAUUUUUUGCGCUCAAUGAGGCAUCUCCUCCUAACUAUACGAAUGCGCAUGUUGCCCGCCCUCUUAAAAGGGGAGGGGGUGUCGCACUAAUAUACAAUGAAAAUUUCAACCUUACCCCUAACCUAAAUAAUAAAUAUAAAUCGUUUGAGGUGCUUACUAUGAGGUCUGUCACACCGCUACCUCUCGACCUGGCUGUUAUCUACCGCCCCCCUGGGCCCUAUUCGGACUUUAUCAGUGAAUUCUCAGAGUUCGUUGCUGAUCUAGUGACGCACGCCGACAAUAUAAUCAUAAUGGGGGACUUUAAUAUCCAUAUGAAUACCCCAUCGGACCCUCAGUGCGUGGCGCUCCAAACCAUAAUUGAUAGCUGUGGUCUUACACAAAUAAUACAUGAACCCACGCAUCGCAACGGUAAUACAAUAGAUCUAGUGCUUGUCAGGGGUGUCACCACCUCCAAAGUUAUGAUACUUCCAUAUACUAAAGUAAUGUCCGAUCAUUACCUUAUAAAAUUUGAAGUUUUGACUCUUUGUCAACAAGCUAAUAAUAAUAAUAACUGCUAUAGCGGCCUCAACAUUAAUGCUGCCACAACGAUGACUCUUGCUGACCUACUGCCUUCGGUAAUAGCACCAUUCCCAAAUUAUGUCGGCUCUAUUGAUAAACUCACUAACAACUUUGACGAUGCCUUGCGCGAAAUUAUUGAUAGUAUAGCACCGCUAAAGCAAAAAAGGGCCCCUAAAAGGCGCACCCCAUGGUUUACAGAAGAAAUUAGAGCUCAUAAAUUAUCAUGUAGAAAACUGGAACGCAAAUGGCGCGCGACUAAACUUGAGGUUUUCCAUCAAGCAUGGAGUGAUAGUUUAAUAACUUAUAAACGCAUGCUUACCUUAGCUAAAACUAAAUACUACUCAAAUCUCAUCCGCCUCAACAAAAACGAUCCUAAAUUUCUGUUUAGUACAGUAGCAUCGCUAACCCAACAAGGGACUCCUCCCAGUAGCUCCACCCACUCGGCAGAUGAUUUUAUGAAUUUCUUUAAUAAGAAAAUUGAACUCAUUAGAAAGGAGAUUAAAGACAACGCAUCCCAGCUACAACUGGGCUCUAUUAACACAAAUACGACUGUAUAUACGACGGACACUGCCCUCCAAAAUAGUCUCUCUAUUUUUGAUGAAAUAACAUUAGAGGAAUUAUUACAGCGUGUAAGUGGGAUAAAACAAACAACAUGUUUACUUGACCCACUUCCUGGGAAACUUAUCAAGGAACUGUUUGUAUUAUUAGGUCCAUCAGUGUUAAAUAUUAUAAACUUAUCACUUUCCUCCGGCACUGUUCCCCUAGCAUUCAAAAAAGCGGUUAUUCAUCCUCUGCUCAAAAGACCUAACCUCGAUCCUGACCUCAUGGUAAACUACCGACCGGUCUCCCACCUUCCGUUUAUUUCCAAAAUUCUCGAAAAAACUGUUGCACAGCAGCUAAAUGAACACUUAGUGACUAACAAUCUCUGUGAACCUUUUCAAUCCGGUUUCAGGGCAAAUCACUCUACGGAGACAGCCCUCGCAAAAAUGACUAAUGAUCUAUUGCUAACGAUGGAUUCUGAUGCGUCAUCUAUGUUGCUGCUUCUUGAUCUUAGCGCCGCUUUCGAUACCGUCGAUCAUAAUAUUUUAUUAGAGCGUAUCAAAACACGUAUUGGUAUGUCAGACUUAGCCUUGUCUUGGUUUAACUCUUAUCUUACUGACAGGAUGCAGUGCGUCUCCCAUAAUAAUGUGACCUCGGACUAUGUCAAGGUAACGUGCGGAGUUCCCCAGGGUUCGGUUCUUGGCCCUGCACUCUUUAGUAUUUACAUGCUGCCGCUGGGUGACAUCAUACGCAAGUACGGUGUUAGCUUUCACUGUUAUGCUGAUGACACUCAACUCUACAUGCCCCUAAAGCUGACCAACACGCCGGACUGUAGUCAGCUGGAGGCGUGUCUUAAUGAAAUUAAACAAUGGAUGUCCGCUAACUUUUUGCAACUCAACGCUAAGAAAACGGAAAUGCUGAUUAUCGGUCCUGCUAGACACCAACAUUUAUUUAAUAAUACCACCUUAACAUUUGACAACCAAACAAUUAAACAAGGAGACUCGGCAAAGAAUCUGGGUAUUAUCUUCGACCCAACUCUCUCGUUUGAGUCACACAUUAAGAGUGUUACUAAAACGGCCUUCUUUCAUCUCCGUAAUAUCGCUAAAAUUCGUUCCAUCUUGUCCACUAGCGACGCUGAGAUCAUUAUUCAUGCGUUCGUUACGUCUCGUCUCGAUUACUGUAACGUAUUAUUUUCGGGCCUCCCUAUGUCUAGCAUUAAAAGAUUACAGUUGGUACAAAAUGCGGCUGCAAGGCUUCUGACAAAAACAAGAAAGUUUGAUCAUAUUACGCCUAUACUGGCUCACUUGCACUGGCUUCCUGUGCACUUAAGAUGCGACUUUAAGGUUUUACUACUUACGUAUAAAAUAUUACACGGUUUAGCUCCAGCCUAUCUCGCCGAUUGUAUUGUACCAUAUGUCCCGACAAGAAAUCUGCGUUCAAAGAACUCCGGCUUAUUAGUGAUUCCCAGAGCCAAAAAAAAGUCUGCGGGCUAUAGAGCGUUUUCUAUUCGGGCUCCAGUACUCUGGAAUGCCCUCCCGGUAACAGUUAGAGAUGCUACCUCAGUAGAAGCAUUUAAGUCCCAUCUUAAAACUCAUUUGUAUAAUCUAGUCUUUAAAUAGACCCCCCCCUUUUUUUAGACCAGUUGAUCUGCCGUUUCUUUUCUUCUCUCCUCUUCUCCCCUGUCCCUUGCGAGGGGGAGUUGCAUAGGUCCGGUGGCCAUGGAUGAAGUGCUGGCUGUCCAGAGCCGGGACCCCGGGUGGACCACUAGCCUGUGCAUCGGUUGGGGACAUCUCUGCGCUGCUGACCCGUCUCCGCUCGGGAUGGUUUCCUGUUGGCCCCGCUGUGGACUGGACUCCCGCUGAUGUGUUGGAUCCACUGUGGACUGGACUUUCACAAUGUUAUGUCAGACCCACUCGACAUCCGUUGCUUUCGGUCUCCCCUAGAGGGGGGGGUUACCCACAUAUGCGGUCCUCUCCAAGGUUUCUCAUAGUCAUUCACCGACGUCCCACUGGGACAGGAAUACUUACGCAUGCUGGCAUUUGGCGGGAUCCUGGGAUGCAGAGAAGGCAGGCGACAUGCAAGCAGACGGUCCAAAAAGAGGAGCACAGGUGUGGCUACGGGUGAGCAGAAAUGUGACACAAAUAAGAAGUUCAGCUUUACAGGUGCCCUGCUGUAGAAGUGACAUCUACUACAACACGUAGUAUCAGUAGAGGUACGUGUACUCAGACCAGGCGGAGGAAGCUCCUCGUUGAUGUAAUGAUGGUGUUAACACUCACACUCCUUGUAGACCUGCUUGAUAUCCUGCAGCUCAGAGUUGCUGCGUGAGCACAGAAUCUCUAUCAGCGUUUCUUCAUCAGUCCCCAGCCCCUAAAAGAGACGUCAACAUUUUAGGGCGGAAAACCAAAAGGGGUGCAGUCUAUCAUUUGUCCACCAGAGGGCAGGGUCGUCCUAUGGCUUGCUGCACAAGAGUCUACCUUGAUGGAUCCUCUGAUCUCUGAGGCGUCGAACUGGGAUGUGCUCUUCAUCAGGCCCAGGAUGACAGACUCCACAGAGCCAGAAAGUGCUCCCUUCAGGGCUGAGAUCAUGUCCUACAAGAUAAAGUUGAAGUGAAUUGUCUUUUCACGUCCUGAAAGUCAGGGCUGUCCAAACCGUUUUCACAAUGACAAAUCAAAGAAUGUGUUUGAGGCUAAAACAAGUUAUAUUCAUUUCAAGACACAAUGUCGUGUUAUUAGUAUCAACGAGGGCUGGGUACCUUUCACAUUUCAAUGAAUACGGUACCAAUUCCCAGUAUAUAAUGUUGUCUGUAAUGUUUGUCUGAUCUUG
Entelurus aequoreus (snake pipefish) is the source of this 5636-nucleotide RNA transcript. It is a transcript of the gene named forkhead box B1a, with no coding region annotated. Lineage: Eukaryota; Metazoa; Chordata; Actinopteri; Syngnathiformes; Syngnathidae. The transcript has 7 exons. The record is from RefSeq and is a predicted model, not a curated record.